RNAcentral lists this long non-coding RNA (215 nucleotides) under Mytilus galloprovincialis (Mediterranean mussel). The record is from RNAcentral. Lineage: Eukaryota; Metazoa; Mollusca; Bivalvia; Mytilida; Mytilidae.
UGUCGCUCAUCUUGGUCUAUGUGAAUAUUAAACAAUGGACACAGAUGGAUUCAUGACAAAAUUGUGUUUUGGUGAUGGUGAUGUGUUUGUAGAUCUUAUAUUACUAAACAUUCUUGCUGCUUACAAUUAUCUCUAUCUAUAACAGUACUUUUUGUGGAAAAUGUUAUUGAAAAUCUUCAAAUUUUAAGAAAAUUGUUAAAGAUUGACUAUGAGGG